UACGUAGGGGGCAAGCGUUGUCCGGAUUUAUUGGGCGUAAAGCGCGCGCAGGCGGUCUUUUAAGUCUGAUGUGAAAGCCCACGGCUCAACCGUGGAAGGUCAUUGGAAACUGGGAGACUUGAGUGUAGGAGAGGAAAGUGGAAUUCCACGUGUAGCGGUGAAAUGCGUAGAGAUGUGGAGGAACACCAGUGGCGAAGGCGACUUUCUGGCCUAUAACCUACGCUGAGGCGCGAAAGCGUGGGGAGCAAACAGG
RNAcentral lists this ribosomal RNA (253 nucleotides) under uncultured bacterium. RNAcentral describes it as "partial 16S ribosomal RNA". It matches the Rfam family "Bacterial small subunit ribosomal RNA", at positions 524 to 776 of the family's 1533-position model. The record is from RNAcentral.